RNAcentral lists this long non-coding RNA (3103 nucleotides) under Bemisia tabaci. RNAcentral's name for it is "lncRNA ENSSSA2NGG007830". The record is from RNAcentral. Lineage: Eukaryota; Metazoa; Arthropoda; Insecta; Hemiptera; Aleyrodidae.
GUGUUCGCAAUGAACACCUUAAUAAUCGAGUCUUUAUCGCAGCUUCAAAUAGGGAAAUAUCGAUAAUCGAUAAUUGACGCCUCGCUACUGUCAGACACUGUAUCGAAAUUUUAUCGACGUCAAUUUUAGCGGUCCAUAUGAUUUUGCGUCCGAUACUGAAAACUGUUAUCCUCAGAUAAUUAUUCCAAACAUGAAAAGGAUGACUUAGAAGUAUAAAUCUCUUUUAAAGAAGAAGCCACAAAAGCAAACAUGUGGCAGUUCUGAAAUCAGCAUUAAAAUAGAUAAGUAUCUGAGCCCCCCCCCCCCUCCCCCCCCAAAAAAGAUCAGACAAGACCAUAUCAAUUCCAGUUUUAUUCAAUUUUAGUGAAAUUUUUCAAGAAACAAGAAUUGUGACAACUUUUUACUUGUUGGUCCCUUAUCUGCUGGUUUAGCAGUGGUUAUUUAAUAUUUUUACAAAUAGAUAUUCAAACCGAGUGCCUAGAAAAUAAUUUUAUGAAAAUUACUCAUCUUUACGUAAACAUAUAUCUACUAACCGGUCAUUGUAACGUGCAACUCUGUAAAUGGACUUAAGCUGAAAAAUUCAAAUGAAAAGUACCUACCAAAAUAAAAAGGGUUGAAUUUUAAGUACCCAUUGAGGUUUUGCUCAAUGAAUAGCUCUGUACCUAAAUAUUUGAACAAGUAUUCCUGAAACCUAAAUGGCUUUCACAGCCCUCAUCUCAUUGCUUCAAGAAAGUGUAAACAUUUAAUAUUCCUCUGCUUAACCGUUUCCUUUUGUUUACAGAGCACCUAAGUCAUUGGCUUGAAAAUAUUGAGCGCUGUUCAGACCUGACGCAUAUCGAUUGUGCUUUGGACACAGCUCUGGAGAAGAAAACUUGGAUGUUUUUACUCACAAGACUAACUCUCCUUCUCAAAUCUUAUCCAACUAGUCUUGAAGAGGAUUUGGAAUCUUUAAUAGAUGAAUCUCUAUCAACAUGCCAGCACAAUGUCCUGAAGCUUUUGAUUUGUGAAAAAAGGAUAUUCAAUAAGUGUAUAGAAUAUGCAAAACAAAGGAUUAAAGUUUGACAUAGUUUCCUUUUACCUGCAGCCUAAUUUUUGAAAAUAUUUCUUGCUUUGUCAGCAAUAUAAUGGCAAUAUAAGACAAGACGUAGCCUUAUCUGUGCCAUGUAAUAUACCGAUUUUCAAUGUCUUGUCGUCCUGACAUUAAUUUCAACAGUCAGACUGCAGGAAUGCAAUUUUAAGUCAUACUCAAUGGCCGUGCAAUACAUCAGUGGUCUACCACAAAUAUGGUAGCCCUGCAUUAAAAAUUUAAAAAAGUUAAAAGCAUUCAAGUGCAAGUCAAAUCUUUAAAAUCGGAGGUGUUUCGUCCAUGCCGGUCUAACAUCAUCAGCGACCACCCUGCGAGGACGAAACACAUCCAGUUUGAAAGAUUUUGAAGUGCACUCAAGUAUUUUUAAGUUUUGUAAAUUUUAACAAAGUUUGUGAGCAGAGUUUCCUGAUAGAUAUUUUUAUUUAUUUAAGUGGCCCUAAUUUAAAUUCAUCCAUUUUUUUCUGGAAUCGAUUUCAUGGUUUCUAGACGUUCCUUUAAAGAAAAUUUAAAUUAGAUAUAAUGUAAAAUCAAUUUUGCAUUUAUCUCACUUAGUAACUUUCACAUCAGUAAAAUGCCCCAAGAAUGGUGAACAUAAGGUCUCAAAUGAAUCAUUUCAGAAAAUAUAAUAUUAACAGCAUGAGUGGGCUAGCUCUGAAUUUUUUGGGGAAAAGCACUAGGUCUGACUGCCCUAAAGGGGGGGGGGAUGAAGGGUGGGAUAGAGUUCAGUAGAAACUGUCUAAGGCUUUGCAAGAUUUUGUAAUCGGUCCUGAGUAUAACCUCUAAAUUCUACCAAAGGGCUAGGGGCUAAAGGCUGAGGGCUAGGCAAAACAGCUAGGAGGCGGGGGCCCCAUAGCCGCUCUGCCACUGAGUAGCAAUAUUAUUUUACACGUAUUAUGUCAUUCAGAGGGAAAGAAUUAACUUGUAAAUAUCCACCAUUAUGGCUAGUCAUUUAAAUGUCUUUGUACGAUAUAAUUUAUUCUAAGUUUUUCCUGUGAACUGUAUGGAUUAUAUGAAUGAUAGAAGUAAUUUCGUUCUCAAUCUUACUUUCCCUGUCACUUGUAAUUUGUAAACAAGAGUUAGAUAAUCUUCCAAUCAAUGAUUUUUAUAUUAUGCAGGUUAUCAUUUUUUAAGGAACAUUUUGAAAUAAGUACUCUCAAACUAAGUAUAUCAUUCUAUGCAAAGAAGCCCUUCUCUUAGCUUUUGUAUCGCUCAUAACUCCAAAACAAACCCUUUGAAUUGGAAAAUUCUAACUGUGGUAACUCAAAAUUUACAACAAGUACAUAUAAUAUAUUUUUUUGAUGAUGUAAUAAUGUGAGCCAUUUACAUGAAUGAAAAAGAAAACCAAAAGUUUGGGAACUGUUUUCUUUGAGGGCGAUUUUAGGGCUGAGGGUCUUUGUCCCUCUUCAUUGAGUCCCUCGUCCAUGUCUGAACUAUGAAGAAAGUCGCACAUUUCUCCUCAAGAUUUUACACAGAAAGCAAUUCGCACAACAGGAAGAUCGGAAAUCAACUUUUGAACGAGAUAUUACAUAAUAGAUAUUAUCAAACAAAUCAUAUGGAAGUCAAGAGUAUAUGAAAACGACAUCACUUGAAAAGGCCUAAACGAAAUGAAUUAAAUUACAUUAGACACUGCUUAAUUUUUUCUGGUGUUUUAUUUUUGAAACAAAAAACUAAGGAACCCUGGAACUUGAAAUUUUGUGAGAAUAUAUUUUUCAUAAUCCAGGGUAAUUCACAUAAAGUUUACAGGCAAUGAAUAUCUUGGUUUUCUGUUCAGAGAAAAGAGAAAAAAUCAUGAAUGAUAAUUAGGGAACACAAAAUGCUGCUAGGCUGAUUUUGGUUUGAAUGGUCCAUUUAACCAGUUUUUAUGGUAAACACUUUUAUCUUGUUUAUUGGUUGAUUUCCAGGCCUCUCGUUUCCCAGAGAAAAUAUGCAGCAUUGUGCUUCAAUUCAUACUUUGUCUGGUGGUCGAUUCAUUGUGCUUUUGAGGAUGUAAUAAAAUGCCUUUAAAACAGCUGAAUG